UACGUAGGGAGCAAGCGUUGUCCGGAAUCAUUGGGCGUAAAGCGCGCGUAGGCGGCCCGGUAAGUCCGUUGUGAAAGUCAAAGGCUCAACCUUUGAAUGCCGAUGGAUACUGCCGGGCUCGAGUCUGGAAGAGGAGAGCGGAAUUCCCGGUGUAGUGGUGGAAUGCGUAGAGAUCGGGAGGAACACCAGUGGCGAAAGCGGCUCUCUGGUCCAAAACUGACGCUGAGGGGCGAAAGCGUGGGGAGCGAACAGG
This 253-nucleotide ribosomal RNA is filed under the name uncultured bacterium. Its description in RNAcentral is "partial 16S ribosomal RNA". It matches the Rfam family "Bacterial small subunit ribosomal RNA", at positions 524 to 776 of the family's 1533-position model. The record is from RNAcentral.